GGCCGGUUAGUUCAGAUGGCUAGAGCGUGGUGCUAAUAAUGCCAAGGUCAUGGGUUCAACCCCCAUACUGGCCA
This is a non-coding RNA of Scophthalmus maximus (turbot), 74 nucleotides long. The record is from the annotation of a RefSeq genome assembly. NCBI's taxonomy places the organism in Eukaryota, Metazoa, Chordata, Actinopteri, Pleuronectiformes, Scophthalmidae.